Molecule: ribosomal RNA, 497 nt
Filed under: uncultured bacterium
Lineage: Bacteria
Description: partial 16S ribosomal RNA
Rfam family: Bacterial small subunit ribosomal RNA
Source: RNAcentral
GAUGAACGCUGGCGGCGUGCCUAAUACAUGCAAGUCGAGCGAACAGACGAGGAGCUUGCUCCUCUGACGUUAGCGGCGGACGGGUGAGUAACACGUGGAUAACCUACCUAUAAGACUGGGAUAACUUCGGGAAACCGGAGCUAAUACCGGAUAAUAUAUUGAACCGCAUGGUUCAAUAGUGAAAGACGGUUUUGCUGUCACUUAUAGAUGGAUCCGCGCCGCAUUAGCUAGUUGGUAAGGUAACGGCUUACCAAGGCGACGAUGCGUAGCCGACCUGAGAGGGUGAUCGGCCACACUGGAACUGAGACACGGUCCAGACUCCUACGGGAGGCAGCAGUAGGGAAUCUUCCGCAAUGGGCGAAAGCCUGACGGAGCAACGCCGCGUGAGUGAUGAAGGUCUUCGGAUCCUAAAACUCUGUUAUUAGGGAAGAAAAAAUGUGUAAGUAACUAUGCACGUCUUGACGGUACCUAAUCAGAAAGCCACGGCUAACUACGUG